CAGUUCCUAGGACCUAGUUCAUCAGACACUUCAUUUCCUGCUCUACUGUGCCAUUAUUUGGUGAAGUUUCCAAGCGCCCAGCACUUCCCAAGGCUCCCAGUGAUUGUCUGUAGUCCAGGGAGGUAUGGUGAGGUCUUCUGAGCUCCUUUUGAGGUUUGAUACACUGCAGUUGACCUUUAAGUUACAGGUUAGUGGUCUUCAAGGACAACUCUUUUUUCUCAUUUCUGUAGUGUCCAUUCAGAGUGCAGGUAAAUUUUUUGAAAUUUCAGAAAUAUGUCUUCUGAAUAAAUGUAGCCUACAGAACUUAACAUGAAGGAAUCAUUUUUGUCACAUCUUGACAUGGCACACAGCUAUAAUCUCAGCAUUUGGGAGACUGAGGCAGGAGGAUCACGGUGAGUUUAAGGCCAGCCUAGGACUUUAGGGACUGCCCCACUGAGACUUGGGCUGGCCUCCAGAAGCUGGCCAAUUGGGCAGACUUGGUCUUCAUCCUUGCUCAUCCUCUUACCACCUGAGAAGUUUUUGGCUUCUUACAAUCGGUGUGGUUGUUCACAAAUACUUUUGGUGACCAGUAGCACUCAAGGCAUAUUCUAAAUCAUAAUGCUUCCUAGAAGAUUUUAGCCUGUUUCAUGUAAAUAUCAUCUUAUUCAUACGGUAAAAUGACAAUUCGAUAUGUUAUACCACCUAACUUGAACUUUUUAAAGUGCUUUAAUAAAAGUAAUGAUAAAAAUAUUUAUCUCUCAGGACAUUAAAGUUGCAAGUUAGUAGGUCUUCCAGGACAAAUCUUUUAAAGUUUCUCUUUUCUAUAGCACAGUGCAAGUCAGUUUUUCUCUUUAAAGUUUCAGAAAGAUCAUUUUUUGAAAAAUUUAGUCUAGUGGGAGUCAUUUCGUGUCACGGAACAAGAGGCUUUGGAUAUUAGGGCUUUGGGACUGAAGAGCCUCAUGGGACACAGACAUGGCGGCUCACGAAGAGGACAUUGGAGAAUCACUGUAAGUCAGUUGGUCAGCAGAAAGGAAAGGAAAACGGUGAGCGGAUCUCCUGAGCAAGUGGGAACUUCUCACCAAAGCCUUAUGUGGCCAAGGGCGAACGUGCAGCCAGGUGGGAUGAGCUAGGGUGGCCCUGUGGGGUGUGGUGUCUUGUGCUGGACAGUGCUGUGCUGGGCUGCGGUGCACAGGCUGUGAUGACG
Octodon degus (degu) is the source of this 1183-nucleotide long non-coding RNA. RefSeq lists it as uncharacterized. Lineage: Eukaryota; Metazoa; Chordata; Mammalia; Rodentia; Octodontidae. The record is from RefSeq and is a predicted model, not a curated record. The transcript has 3 exons.